UUUAGGGAGACCUAAGGCACAUACCAAGUAGCAGCACAAAGGGAAGAGAUAUCAUGAGUAAGCUAUUGAAAAUAAAUGCUUGGAUGUUAAGCCUAAUCCCAAGGUCGGAACGAGUGAUGGGAGCAAAAGUUUCAAACUAUUGGUUAGGUUCGUAACCAUUAAUCAAGGGAUAUUAGCUCAUGUGGUUAGAGCGCACCCCUGAUAAGGGUGAGGUCCCUGGUUCAAGUCCAGGAUGGCCCACCAGAUAAUUAUGUCAAUGGGAGAAAGAGAACAGCACUUACACCAACACGGAAUCAGUGCAACUGAGGAAGAGGGUGGUAGGGAUGCUGGAGGAUGACUCCAGUAAAUGAACCUUGAAAACUGCAUAGCCAGAUGUCUGCCCAGCAUGUGAGUAUCUGACGAGACAAUGAUUAUUGAAUCGUUGGAACGAAAUGCAAGCAAGAAAAAGAACAAUUGGUCAAGCUACCAAGGGCUAAUGGU
This 480-nucleotide transfer RNA is filed under the name Caldora penicillata NAB11-28. RNAcentral describes it as "partial 16S-23S ribosomal RNA intergenic spacer". The stretch from base 167 to 240 matches the Rfam family "tRNA". Lineage: Bacteria; Bacillati; Cyanobacteriota; Cyanophyceae; Coleofasciculales; Coleofasciculaceae. The record is from RNAcentral.